UGGCCACAUCCUCACUGUCCUUUCACUCCCCCUACUUGAAAAGACCUCAGGGACAUAAAAAAGCAGGCCAGAAGGAGGAGGCAGCACUGGAUGGAGAAAGGGAGUUAGAGAGAAGCCUGCCCCUGCCCACCGCCUAGUCCUGCGCAGCUCUCAAGCUGUUCCCCAGUGGAACUGUCUGGUCCAAUUGCUGGAGGCCUCUCAGGCAGCUUCGAGGGACUUGUGUGGGGCCAGGAAGUGAAAUAAGAAACGUGAGUUCCUGGAAAUAAGAGGCAGCCACAAGCUCAGCAUUGUGUGCAUGUGCAGGAACUCAACUUACUCUUAGACGACAAUCCUGAGCGGUGGGUAGAACAGCAAUGACGUCAACACUGCAGGUGAAUAAACUGAGGUUCCAGGAAGCACCAGGACUUCCUGAAGUCCCUGCAGGGUGCACGUGUGCAGGGCUAAGAAGCUGUGUGUACCCUUGCUGGGAGCCUUUGCUGACCCGGGGCCCGCAGCUCAUCACUCUUCCUGACAACCUAGGCCCAGGCCUCGGGACAGCCCAUGCAACUUUAGGCUGGUUCCAGGGAAAUCCUGAUCUCUCCUGUGCAGAGGGUAAAGUAUUUAUCUCAUUUGCCAGGAGCAGGAGGUCAUUGGCCCACAUGCCCCUUCCUGCCUCUAGAGUUUUCCUACUAACAAGAACUGACUGAAAAGCCAUUGUUUUUUGCUUUCUGUAGGAACUGCCAUUCUGUGUGAUGUCUGAUGUUGGAAGUGCAAUCAGAUAAUGGUAAAGAGGAAAGCAAGGUGAUUUGGGAAGGAAAGAGGCCAAAAGAAGCAUUUUAUGGAAAUCAGCAAAUCAUUUUUUAAACACAAAAUGAUUGUUCUUGUUUUUUAUUGUCUUUAUUAUAAUUACCUAUGCAUUUUUUGGGGGGGAUUCUUUAAGAUUUGCUUACUUAUUUGAAAGUCAGAGUGACAGAGAGAAAGGGAGAGAGAGAAGGAUGGAAGGAGGGAGAUUGAGACACAGAAAGAGACAGAGAGGGAGAGAUCAUCCAUCCACUGGUUCACUCCCCAAGUACCAGACAUGGGCCAGACCAAAGCCGGGAGCCAGGAACUCCCUCCAGGUCUUCCACAUGGGUGGCAGGAACCCAAGUCCUUGGGCCAUCAUCCACCGCCUCCCAGAUGCAAUAGCAGGAAGCUAGAUCAGAAGCAGAAUAGCUGAGACUUGAACCAGAACUCCAAUAUGGGAUGUGGCCAUCCCAAGCAGCAGCUUAACCCGCUGCAUCGCAACACCUGUCCCUGAGUGUGCCUUUGUAUUGCUCCCUCCGGUAACCUGUAAGGUUCUAGGGGUGAAAGUGUCUGUGCCUGUGUUUAUCUUCCACAGCACUUGAACUGCUGUCUAGCAAAUAAACAACUGACCCCAGAAGGAAGGAACUGGCCUUGCACCUCCCCAGAAAUAUCUUUUCCUCUGGCUGUCAGGUAUGUCUGACAUUCUUACCAUGAGAGUCUUCGUCAUUUGGAGGCUGCUCCUUUCAACCAGGCGAAUUGGGUCCUACCCACUGUCCCUAGAGUGCAGCAGGAUUCCAUGGGAAGAAGAAAACCCAGAGGAGAGCUGAAACGUGCGACUUGGUCAGUCCUCGGGGGAAGCCAAAUGGGACUAUGCCCCUGGGACCCAGAGACUGGCUUCAGCCCUUGUAGGGAGGGAGAAAACUCAGGACCCCUGAGAACUCAAACGUUGCCCACACCAUCAUUUUUCAGGGCCUGUUUGAUUUGGGUCUGGUUCCACACUGCAGCCUGGGCUGCAAGGUGGAGCACCACUAAGUGGUUCCUGUGUGAGUCAGCCAAUGACCUCAAUCUCGUUCCUUUGGUCUCCAUCAAAAUUGAGCUGAUCCGCUUUAGAUGUCUAAAAUUUAGCCCAAAAUGCUCCUCAGAGCAGGCAAUGCCCACCGCCUCAUGCGACUAGGAUAAGCCAAAGGGGCUACUGGUGUAUUUGUUUUACCUACUGUUUUCUUUUUAAGGUGCAUUUAUUUAUUUACUGGAAAGGCAGAGUGAGAAAGAGAGAGGUGGGAAUCUUCCAUCUGCUGGUUCGUUCCCCAAACGGCCACAACAGCUGGGGCUGGGCCCAGCUGAAACCAGGAGCUGGAAACUCCAUCCAGGUCUGCCAUGUGGUGGCAGGAACCCAAGUACUUGGACCAUCUGCUGCUGCCUUCUCAGGUACUUAACCCGAAGCUGCAUCAGAAGGGGAGAAGGCUCAGUCCCAGGCAUUCAGAUAUGGGAUGCAAGCAUCCCAAAUGGCAGCUUAACCCACUGUGCCACAAUGCCCACUUCUUGCUGUUUUGAUCAUUGGUUUACUUAGUCAUUCAUUUAUUAACAUAUUGAUACCCAUUUUGUUACAAAGUAGAUUUAGGUUUAAGGCCGGCGCCGCAGAUCACUAGGCCAAUCCUCUGCCUUGCGGCGCUGGCACACCAGGUUCUAGUCCCGGUCGGGGCGCCAGAUUCUGUCCCGGUUGCCCCUCUUCCAGGCCAGCUCUCUGCUGUGGCCAGGGAGUGCAGUGGAGGAUGGCCCAAGUGCUUGGGCCCCGCACCCCAUGGGAGACCAGGAGAAGCACCUGGCUCCUGGCUUCGGAUCAGCGCAGUGCGCCGCCCGCGGCGGCCAUUGGAGGGUGAACCAACGGCAAAAGAAGACCUUUCUCUCUGUCUCUCUCUCUCUCACUGUCCAUUCUGCCUGUCAAAAAAGAAAAAAAAAAAGUAGAUUUAGGUUUAAACCAAUUUAUCCAGAAGAUGACAGGUGUUUUUUUUUUCCUUGCAUGAGAGGAAAAGAGAGAGAGAGAGAGAGAAAGAGGACAUUUACUUCCCUUCUCCAACUACUGAUUCACUCCCCAAAUGCCCAGAAUUGCUGCAGCAAAAGCCAGGAGCCAACACACAAUCCAGGUCUCCCAUGUGGGUGGCAGGGACGAAAUGAUUUGAAUCAACGCUGCUGCCUCCUAGGGUCUGCAUUGGCAGGAAGCUGGAGCCAGGAGCCAGAGUUGGGAAUUGAACUCAAGAGCUCCAGUGUGAAACACAAGUGUCUUAAUAGGUCUCAGUCAGGGCUAGACAGCUACUCGACAGAAGACGCAUUUUUAAUUUAACCCAUUUCUACUAUCAAUGUUAUUCAAUAAUUUUAAAAAUUUCUAAAUACCUAAUAUAAAUAUUCUAAUAUAAACAGUGGGAUAUCAUUAGUGAAAACACAAAGAUGCCCCUACCUCAUGUACCUUAUAUAAGCAGUGGGUGAGCCAAGAGAUAAUUACAACAUAAUUGACUGUCAGUUGCCUUAUAAUUGAUCAUGGCUAACACUCUACUAUCAACCAUUCCCCAAACACUGCAAAUUGAGUUGUCCCAGCUGUUUGUAUUUUGUGUAUUCUAAUGAUAGCCCACUGAUUGCUAUACCCCUCUCCAACAACCAAGAAUUGCCCCGAGGUUGAGGCUGGUGCUGUAGUGGCCCUCCAGGCACCACCCCAGUCUUUGUUACCCUUGGGACAGAGCUCUCACCUUAUAAAUGAAAAUACUUAAACACACACACACACAUACACACACACACACACACAGGAGAAGGAGUAUCAAGGUAGAGUUGAAACCCUGCAAUCUUCCAGCUACAAGUGAAGUUGGAGCCCCUCCCAGCCAAUCUCUGCGUCUCACAGAUGAGCAAGGGGAGGCUGUAGCCCUGUAGAGGAGUGGCAACCCACCCCCGGAAACACAUCCUCCACCUCCACUCAGACUGAGCCUGGCGGCCGGCAUCUGGACCCUGAGCUUUCGACUUCUUCUGAAUGUGUCUAAAUUUGUCCUCUCCUCUUCUCAAGAUGUCCAUCUGGAGAUCAAUCCAGAGAAAGGUAAUUGGCUGCACUGUGGUUGGUCACAGAGUUAGUGCCCGCGUUGUAAGUGGCAUCGUGGGACCCACGCUUCCCAACACCCGGUUUCACAGUAAAUAACACUUACUUUAUCCCGCAGCACAGAGCUCUGUGCUAGUUAAGGAAGCCGAUGACUUAGGAGGAAGCCCUGGCACGUCAGCUGUUACUGUUAGUGCUGCUUAGCUCCAAGUGAAGAAAGCUCUCCGGUCCGGGCUGAGGGCCAGUCUACUCUUCAGUACAACAGCAUGACCUACCCCAGCGGGUUUUGAGAUGUGGCUGCUUGGUUGGCAAUAUCAGCAUCACCAGGGGCUGAUUCCCAACUUCAACCCACGCCAACUGGACUGGAAACUCUGGGAAUGGAGCCUACAGCCUUUGCUUGAAGGAGGCUUUCAGCAGGGGUGGGUGGGUUUCUUUUGUUGUUGUUGUUUUGUUUUCAUUUAUUUGAAAGGGAGAGAGAAGGACUAUUCUCAUUCACUGAUUCACUUUCCAAAUGCCUACAACAGUCAGGACUGGGCCAGGCUCAAGCCAGAAGCCUGGAACUCAGUUUAGGUCUCCUGUGUUGGUGUCAGAGACCCAACUACUUGAGCACUCCUUCUUCUCCUUCUCCUCCCCCUCCCCCUCCCCCUUCUCCUUCUUUUUGACAGGCAGAGUUAGACAGUGAGAGACAGUGAGCAAGAUCUUCCUUCCGCUGGUUCACACAGCAAAUGGCUGCUAUGGCCAGCGUGCUGCAUUGAUCCAAAGCCAGGAGCCAGGCGCUUCCUCCUGGUCUCCCAUGUGGGUGCAGGGCCCAAGCACUUGGGCCAUCCUCCACUACCUUCCCGGGCCACAGCAGAGAGCUGGACUGGAAGAGGAGCAGCCGGAAGGCAUCACUUCUUCCUCCCAAGAAAAACAUUAGCAAAAAGCUGGAACUAGGAGCAGAGCCAGAAUUCAGACCCAGGUACUCUGACAUGGGAUAUGGAUGUCUGAAGCCAUGUCUUAACCACUGGGCCAAAUGCCGGCUCCCCUUUGGGCUGAUUCUGGUACUUGCUCAAGUUUGAAUGCAUCUGCUCUGGAGCAAUGCUUUGAAAAUUUCAGUCCUGGGGCCCCCAGCCUCAGGGUGUCCAGCAGGAGCUUCUAAAAUAGGUGAGUUGAAAAAAAAUUCAGAAAACCAGCUAUUUACCCCUUCAAGUCCAGUAUUUCCCAAACAAACCUCAUCUGAAGCAUUACUGGGGACCUCUUAGAAAGACCAAUGUCACAGCCCUUCUUCCUGGGCAUUCAGAAUAAGAGCAGAAGAGAAGAGUUGAAAAGGCCAGGCUCAGGGUCUAUGCAUGUCCCUCCCUCCUUGGGGACAGGGCCACUCAUCAGAAUUCACUUGGGAACUGUGGCUCUGGGGCUCCCUAAACCACUGGUUUACUUAUGACAUCCACCUCAGUCCAACAGCGUCAGUAUCGAAGAGGAUCCCAUUUGCUGGCUACUCAGUGCAUAAAUAUUAUUCAAAACCUAUUGCUUUUUUAUUAUUUAUUUUUUUAAAAGGUCUUCCUUCCGUUGGUUCACCCCCAAAAUGGCCACUACAGCCGGAGCUAUGCCAAGCCAAAGCCAGGAGCCAGGUGCUUCCUUCUGGUCUGCCAAGUGGGUGUAGGCGCCCAAGCACUUGGGCCAUCCUCCACUGCAUUCCCAGGCCACAGCAGAGAGUUGGACUGGAAGAGGAGCAACCAGGACUAGAACCCGGCACCCAUAUGGGAUGCCGGUGCUGCAGGCGGAGGAUUAACCAAGUGAGCCAUAGUGCCAGCCCCAAAACCUAUUGCUUUUUAAGGCUGAGAGCGCACAAAAUGUUUCUGUGAUUUCUGAGCGUCAAUUACAGAUGAGCCAGGCAAAAAGCAACCCAUGGAAAUCUCUGGGAACAGAGAGGUCCAUUAAGAUGGAGAAAAGAUUGCCAAGAAACCAGGGAAGAGGCUAGAGAAGGAAGAGGAGAGAAGGACACGAAGGGAGAAGAGGGACCAGAGAAGCUGAGAUUUCUUGGGAAACCGUGAACGACUCUGAGCCAUUGGAGCCCCAGAAAGGAGCCUGGCUUGGUGGUUAGACACAUGGACCCUUGAGACUGCCCGGUUUAAGUGCCAUUUCUGUCCCUUCCUGGCAGGUGGCUGACAUGACCUUUCCAAGCCUCACUCUCCCUACAAUCUACAGAUGACAGGCCCUCCUGGCAGCACUGUCGUGAGGAAGUGGGCAUACCCCAGGCUUCCCCAGCUGGCGCGGCCCAGAGGGCAAGAAGCGCUCAGUGAAACUGCUAUGAUGCUAAGCACUCUCUUCUUGGCAGAAUCUUGCCCAGGUUUUCUCUCAUUUCUCACCUCUCAGUGCCCUAGUAGACCUUCCUGUGAGGAUGAGUGCUGUUUCUGAUCUACUUUAAAAUCAGACCACAUAUCCAUAAGAGACGUUCCCACGCGUCUUCUCAGCCCGCAAAUGAAUGAGAGGUAGAUGAGGCUAUGAGCCUGUUCCUGAGAUGGCAGGGCCCAGGUCUCAUGGGCACCAUGGGUGACCAUGCUUCCAGAUUCGGCAAGACUUAAUCCCAGGUGCACCUUCCGCUUGCAGCAAGGCCAAACAAGUGCCUCCCAAGGCUUCCCCUUGCUCUCCCUAAGGCUGGGUGCCUCCUCCGCACCUCAACUCACUACUCCAGGCAAAACAAGACACGUUGAUUAUAAAAGAGACAAGAUUGCCUAGAAUUUUAUUUUCUCUUGGAGAAAAGAGGUAGGCCAGCACUCAGAGCUGGACCAAGCAAUGGACUAUUAAGAGUGAUUCUCGAACUUGAGUAUGCCUCACAACUGCCGAGGGCUUAGAGUAAGCUAGAGUAGCACACAGUACGAGCCCCACUCCAGAGUUGCUGCUGCAACAGGUCUGAGGCUUGAAUUGGCCUUUCCACCAAGUCCCCGUGUUGCUGGUUCCAGGCCCAGGCUUUGAAGCCCUCUACUCUAUACUUUUGAGAAAGAAACUAUGGCUUGGAGCGGGUGUGUAGUGUAGCGCUUGGGACACCCACAUUCACACCAGAGGGCCUGGGUCCAAUGCUCAGCUCCGAUUCCCGACUCCAGCUUCCUGUCAGCACACACACUGGGAGACGGUGGUGAUGGCUCAAAUAAUUGCGUUCCUGCCACCCACAUGGGAGACCCGGAUUAAGUUCCCAGCUCCCAGCUGUGCUGCCAGCUCUGGCCGUUCAGGGAGUGAACCAGCAGAUGUGAGCGAGCUCUCCCUGUCUCUCUGUAUCUCCCCCCUCAUCUUCUAAAAUAAAUAAAAGCAAUUAAUAAACUAUGACUUAUCAGAAGUUGUACAUCACAGAAACAUUAGAUUGAAAGAUACUCUUCACGACUAAUUGCAAUGGGAGGUAAAAGGAACCUUCAUAUGUCACUACAUAGGUAUCAUCAUAUCAUCUUGGUUAUGUCAUUCUUGAUUAUAGUAUUGGUCCCAACCACUGACCUCAGUUUAUUGUUCUUAAGCGUGAUGAUCAUCUCCUAAUUUUUGUUUUUUAUUUAUUCAGUGAUAUCCAGUGUAAUAUGAGAGCACUUGGAAAACCCAAUGGCCCAAAACAAUCUCCCCUUUUAUGAGCCAUUUCCAACAUCAAAAUAAAAAAGUCAGGGACCGGGAUUGUGGAGCAGUGGGUUAAAGCAUCACCUGCAACCCAUGUGAGUGUCAGUUCAUGUCCCGGCUGCUCCACUUUCAAUCCUGCUCCCUGCUAAUGUGCCUGAGAAAGGAGCAGCAUAUGGCUGCAUGGGUCCCUGCCGUCCACAAGAGAGACCCACUUAAAGCCCUUGAUUCCUGGCUUCAUCCUGGCCCAGCUCUGGCCAUCAGAGCCAUUUGAAUAGUGAACCAGUAGAUGGAAGAACUCUUUCUCUGUCUCUCCCUCUCUCUGUGUAACUCUGCCUUUCAAAUCAGUAAAAUAAAUAUUUAAAAAAGAAUCACAAAGUCAGAGAUGGUAUGUCUAGAUCUCUUUGGAAACCCAACAGAAAACCUGGAGUACCUUCUGGUCUCUUUUCAUUUGGCUUGAAAACAUUAGUAAAUUAGUUUGCUAUCACUUGGCUGCUGAGAUAGUGAGACACAAAGAACUAUAGGUAGGACCUUGGCUAAAAUCUUCCCCAGCAAUAAAUGAGAUAAGGAAGCAUCCUGAAGAUUUGGACCUGAGGAUGGCUGCCCAAGGACAAAACAGGGAGAGAAAUCUGAAAAGGUUGUGGGAAGUCCCAGUGCCUGCUUUGGUGUGCUGCCAUCUUGGUUAUCAAAUGGAUUACAAGAUGCAAAAGAGAGCAUUAAAGGUGAGAACAAAACAGUUCCUGACGGUUCCAAAGGGAAAUCAGCAGAGACACUGAUGACUUGGCUCCUGACCAGCCACGGGUGCCCUGCUUACCUCACAGUGCCGCGGCUCUCCCUUAUGCACUGGCCCAGUUCCCGUGCUGAGCCCAGGAAGGCGUGGUUUCCGGGUAGGUCACUCCGCAAGGAGGCUGGGUCACUUAUUUCGGGGAGGACGUGGUGCAGGUCCAUGGAGGAAGGAGACAGCUCAGCCUCGGACAGAAAGACAUCCUCUGCACGUGAGAUGGCGCCUGCCGACUCCCCUGGGGACUGGUGGCAGGGGAGCGAGGCCCAGAUCGCAGUGGCCUCUGCCCGUCCUCUGCAGGCAACGCAGCCUCCUUGGGCCUAAAAGCCAGUUCUUGAUAGAGGAGCCUCACCUGGGAACAGGUGUGUUUUCAUUGUGCGGACUCAAAGGAGGCCUCUAGGUGGACUUAGUACCUCAAUGGACAGCGAGGCCAACAAGGGGCCUAAUUAUGGUCUUCAAAAGCAGAAUGGACAAGGUUAGGGGGCCUAAAUCCCACACAGCUGAUGGCUACACCUAUAGAGGCUUGGGGGCCUCGGUCUACUUCACCACCGGGAGGAAUGAGGCUGUGGCGGCCACAGGAAGGCUGGCAGGUCAGACACGCCCCCUUUCCCGUGAUGCCCUCCGGACCCGUAUAAAAGCCACCGUGAGAACCCGGAAGCGGAGGGUGUGCCCCCGGAACAGCUGCUCAGCAGGCUCCCUUCCCAGCCGGCAGUUUGCCCUGCGCGGGCCCUGCGAGGCAGGGAGCGCAGGACAGCGGCAACUGAAGAUGGCGUCACCGCCAAGCGGGAGCCCGCAGCUUGGCUCGGCGCAGUGCCAGAUGCCCUGCGGCCUGCCUUGCCUAUCCAGUGCUGCAGACACCCUCAGAGCCUCCCAGUGGCCUCUGGUCACAACACUGUCCUUGCUUGCAUGCGCCUGUUUUCUCCCUGUUGGUCCAAAUCCGGUUUGUCUUUUAAGAAUUAACUGGAAGUCACCUCCUCCCUGAAGCCUCCCAGCUUGCCCAGGCUGGAGAGAUCUGGACCUGCUGUGAAUCCUUUGUCUUCCCUCUCUGCUCCACUCAUUAGGCUCUUUCCAUGACCUCUACUCCCUUCAAGGGUCUGCAUUAACAGAAGGCUGAAGUCAGGAGUCGAAUCCAGGUGCUCUGAUGUGGGACACGGCGGGUCUUCACGGGCAUCAUAACUCAGGAAAAGAGGCGCAGAAUAGAGAAGAAACAGUGUGCAAAUCUACAGCCAGGCCGAAUUGAUUCAGAGAAAAUACAUUUGCGGAAGUGGUGACCACCUGCCCGCGUGCAUGUGAUGGAACACGUGGCAGAAGGCCCGACCCCCAGGGGCUGGGCCUUUUUAUA
Non-coding RNA from Oryctolagus cuniculus (rabbit), 9528 nucleotides. Lineage: Eukaryota; Metazoa; Chordata; Mammalia; Lagomorpha; Leporidae. The record is from RefSeq and is a predicted model, not a curated record.